GCCGGGUGUGGUGGCACGCACCUGUAAUCCCAGCUGCUCAGGAGGCUGAGGGAGGAGAAUCGCUUGAACCUGGUAGACGGAGGUUGCAGUGAGCCGAGACCGUGCCAUGGCACUCUAGCCUAGGCGACAGAGCGAGACUCCGUCUCAAUAAAUAAAUAAAUAAAUAUCCUGUUGAUUCAUUCUUUUUCUUUUGAGAUGGAGUCUCACUCUGUCGCCUAGGCUGGAAUGCAGUGGCAUGAUCUCGGCUCGUUGCAACCUCCGCUUCCCUGGUUCAAGUGAUUCUCCUGC
RNAcentral lists this long non-coding RNA (288 nucleotides) under Homo sapiens (human). RNAcentral describes it as "non-protein coding lnc-SNAPC3-2:1". The record is from RNAcentral. Lineage: Eukaryota; Metazoa; Chordata; Mammalia; Primates; Hominidae.